UCCGGUUUGUCACCGGCAGUCUCCUUAGAGUGCCCAACUAAAUGCUGGCAACUAAGGACAAGGGUUGCGCUCGUUGCGGGACUUAACCCAACAUCUCACGACACGAGCUGACGACAACCAUGCACCACCUGUCACUCUUGUCCCCGAAGGGAAAGCCCUAUCUCUAGGGAAGGCAAGAGGAUGUCAAGGCCUGGUAAGGUUCUUCGCGUUGCUUCGAAUUAAACCACAUGCUCCACCGCUUGUGCGGGCCCCCGUCAAUUCCUUUGAGUUUCAGCCUUGCGGCCGUACUCCCCAGGCGGAGUGCUUAAUGCGUUUGCUGCAGCACUAAAGGGCGGAAACCCUCUAACACUUAGCACUCAUCGUUUACGGCGUGGACUAC
This 379-nucleotide unclassified non-coding RNA is filed under the name Bacillus sp. (in: firmicutes). Its description in RNAcentral is "Bacillus sp. (in: Bacteria) contains 16S-23S intergenic spacer region". Lineage: Bacteria; Bacillati; Bacillota; Bacilli; Caryophanales; Bacillaceae. The record is from RNAcentral.